GUGUCAGCCGCCGCGGUAAUACGGAGGGGGCAAGCGUUGUUCGGAAUCAUUGGGCGUAAAGGGCGUGUAGGCGGCCGAUCAAGUCGGGUGUGAAAUCCCUCGGCUCAACCGAGGAACUGCACUCGAUACUGGUUGGCUAGAGUUCGGGAUGGGGUGGCGGAAUUCCCAGUGUAGCGGUGAAAUGCGUAGAUAUUGGGAAGAACACCGGUAGCGAAGGCGGCCACCUGGACCGAUACUGACGCUGAGGCGCGAAAGCCAGGGGAGCGAAUGGGAUUAGAUACCCCGGUAGUCCUGGCUGUAAACGAUGGGCACUUGGUGUGGCGGGUCUGACCCCUGCCGUGCCGUAGCUAACGCGUUAAGUGCCCCGCCUGGGGAGUACGGUCGCAAGGCUGAA
RNAcentral lists this ribosomal RNA (394 nucleotides) under uncultured bacterium. RNAcentral's name for it is "bacterial SSU rRNA". It matches the Rfam family "Bacterial small subunit ribosomal RNA", at positions 505 to 898 of the family's 1533-position model. The record is from RNAcentral.